CACAUACGACCAUAGACAGCUGAAAAUACGGCAUCCCGUCCGCUCUGCCCGAGUCAAGCAGCUGAUCGCCA
RNAcentral lists this ribosomal RNA (71 nucleotides) under Podospora anserina S mat+. Lineage: Eukaryota; Fungi; Ascomycota; Sordariomycetes; Sordariales; Podosporaceae. The record is from RNAcentral.